Molecule: long non-coding RNA, 371 nt
Filed under: Capsicum annuum
Lineage: Eukaryota; Viridiplantae; Streptophyta; Magnoliopsida; Solanales; Solanaceae
Description: long non-coding RNA (CANN_LNC016888)
Source: RNAcentral
UCCCCAAAUUUAUUUCAAACAAUACGAUUAAACAUGCUUCGAUUUAUCAAUUCACUUUUCGAAGUCCGAAACCAACAUCAACCAACACAUAACACAUAUUCGAACAUACCAAGCACGCAACAAAUAAAUCAUCCACACCUACAACAUCACAAAAAAUAAAUUAAAGAUUCGGUUAGAAGAAAUGGACCUCGAUGAAAUUAAUCUUUGUCGAUAAUAAAGAAAUCCAAAGACCAAAAUAGUCGACCGGAGAACCUCGAUCGUGAUGAAUCCAACUCGGUAGAGAGAAAAGCUAAUAAGACAACUUCAAAACCAGUGAGACAAACUUUACUAUACGAAACCCAACCAAGAACGACGACGCGAUUCGAUAAAGA